AACGCGAAGAACCUUACCCGGGUUUGACAUGGAUCGGGAGUGCUCAGAGAUGGGUGUGCCUCUUUUGGGGUCGGUUCACAGGUGGUGCAUGGCUGUCGUCAGCUCGUGUCGUGAGAUGUUGGGUUAAGUCCCGCAACGAGCGCAACCCUUGUUCACUGUUGCCAGCACGUUAUGGUGGGGACUCAGUGGAGACCGCCGGGGUCAACUCGGAGGAAGGUGGGGAUGACGUCAAGUCAUCAUGCCUCUUAUGUCCAGGGCUUCACGCAUGCUACAAUGGCUGGUACAGAGAGUGGCGAGCCUGUGAGGGUGAGCGAAUCUCGGAAAGCCGGUCUCAGUUCGGAUUGGGGUCUGCAACUCGACCUCAUGAAGUCGGAGUCGCUAGUAAUCGCAGAUCAGCACGC
This 401-nucleotide ribosomal RNA is filed under the name uncultured Propionibacterium sp. Its description in RNAcentral is "bacterial SSU rRNA". It matches the Rfam family "Bacterial small subunit ribosomal RNA", at positions 958 to 1357 of the family's 1533-position model. Lineage: Bacteria; Bacillati; Actinomycetota; Actinomycetes; Propionibacteriales; Propionibacteriaceae. The record is from RNAcentral.